CCUUCCCUCAUUAGCACAGUAAAGAUGAAUCCCUGUGAAACCCUGGGGCUGGCAACCUCUGGAAACGUGCUUUACUGGCCAUCCUGUGACUCAGGAGGAGACUGUAGCCAGCUGACGAGGCUUGGAGGAUCUGUCCUGCUCGAGCAUAUGGCAGCACGAACCUGGGGAUGGCAGGGAGCCCGACGUGCACGGUGCACACGCUGACGAGCUCCCAGCCCCUCCGUGGGCACCAUCUGUCCCCUCAGAGCCGCCAGCACCGACCUUG
This is a long non-coding RNA of Myiozetetes cayanensis, 265 nucleotides long. RefSeq lists it as uncharacterized. NCBI's taxonomy places the organism in Eukaryota, Metazoa, Chordata, Aves, Passeriformes, Tyrannidae. The record is from RefSeq and is a predicted model, not a curated record. The transcript has 3 exons.